Molecule: transfer RNA, 82 nt
Filed under: Rhipicephalus sanguineus (brown dog tick)
Lineage: Eukaryota; Metazoa; Arthropoda; Arachnida; Ixodida; Ixodidae
Description: transfer RNA serine (anticodon CGA)
Rfam family: tRNA
About the family: Transfer RNA (tRNA) molecules are approximately 80 nucleotides in length.
Source: Rfam by way of RNAcentral
GCAGUCGUGGCCGAGUGGUUAAGGCGAUGGUCUCGAAAACCAUUGGGGUUUCCUCGCACAGGUUCGAAUCCUGUCGGCUGCG